CUAAAUCAGUAGUGAUUUCGAUCUCUUAAGGUAGGUCGAUGUCUACGCAUAUAGGGCGUAUAGCAGCUUUGAUCUUAUCUCAGUAAUGUCAUCCAUUUUCAAUGGGUUCCCUAUGCCUCUUGCUAUUGCAAAGAGAAUUUCCGGCCUCCACAGCUCCGAAAGAAGAGGAAAUCGAACCGAUUUUAUUGCAGGAUCAUCCAGGUCUGGUUUGAAGCUCUGAUACCACCUUGACAGAUUGAUUGAGAAAGGCUCAAUCUUCCAAGAGGAACCAGAAAGAACAAGAGAGAGAGAGACCUUGCUCGGAUUUGAAACGGAAAAAAAGAUAGUGACUAUUGAGCAGGGCUACUGAGUGCUCCACCUUCCUGUAGAGCUUGGCAUUGGCCUUCAUCCAUUCUACUUAAGGUAGUUUUAUAAUGAACCUUCCUACUCAACAAAACUUCAAGUCUGCCAAGCUUUCCUGAUAUGGGGAUGAAGGGAUCCGAAUGUGCACCUCCUAAGGAUCCUUGAAUGGGACAGGGAACGAAUGCUGAGUAGAGGGAAAGGAGUAAGGAAUGAGAUGCGAUCCUAAUGCUUGCUUGGGCAAAGGAUUUGGCAGCUCCUGGCGUGGAGGGGGGAGGAUUGAGGUUUGAGAAUCCCAGGUCGGCUAGGCAGUAACUGCGGACCCUGUCGAUCUUUAUUAUGCUGGAAAGGUUGAUACGAUUGAUUCGCUUGCCUCGAAGACUGGCAUUAGGCCCCUACUGAGGAUAGGAUUGAUUCGAAGCAAAGGGAAAUGCUUCUCCGCUACGGGAGAUGCUAGAAGAAAAGAAGAGAAGCCCCCGGGGGAUAUUACACAGGCUAGCAGACAACCGGAAAGCUAUUCCCUUGCAACAAUGGUAGGGUUUUGAAUGCUUACGGAAUUGAAAGCUAGGACGAAAGGGCCAGCAUCAGACAUAGGGACUACGGGAUAUACGUAAUAGCCGGGCUAAGAGAUUCUAAAAACUAGUAAAGAAAAGGCAAUAGCCCCUUCCACGACUAAGAAAGUUGGCAAUGGGGAUAGACCUUUUCGCUUUUUCAGAAUACGGGAGAGUAAGCAAGGGUAGUAAUGGGCGGAAGAAGUAAGCUGGCUGGCGGGAUAAAAGGUUCAAGAUCCAUCCUGUGAGAAAGCCAAUUACUUUUUUUGUGGAUUUAGUCACCUUGGAUGUAUUUCCCUCUAUAACGGACAUGCUUGCCCUGCGAUCUAUUUUCUUGGGAAUCUUGGUAUCCGCUUUCAAGCUAGUGACCUGAGCUAGCCUUUACUUCGAGGCCAGUCCUAUUGAGAUUCC
Molecule: long non-coding RNA, 1301 nt
Filed under: Ricinus communis (castor bean)
Lineage: Eukaryota; Viridiplantae; Streptophyta; Magnoliopsida; Malpighiales; Euphorbiaceae
Description: long non-coding RNA (RCOM_LNC003511)
Source: RNAcentral